This 2898-nucleotide ribosomal RNA is filed under the name Escherichia coli. RNAcentral's name for it is "23S ribosomal RNA". It matches the Rfam family "Bacterial large subunit ribosomal RNA". The record is from RNAcentral. Lineage: Bacteria; Pseudomonadati; Pseudomonadota; Gammaproteobacteria; Enterobacterales; Enterobacteriaceae.
UUAAGCGACUAAGCGUACACGGUGGAUGCCCUGGCAGUCAGAGGCGAUGAAGGACGUGCUAAUCUGCGAUAAGCGUCGGUGAGGUGAUAUGAACCGUUAUAACCGGCGAUUUCCGAAUGGGGAAACCCAGUGUGUUUCGACACACUAUCAUUAACUGAAUCCAUAGGUUAAUGAGGCGAACCGGGGGAACUGAAACAUCUAAGUACCCCGAGGAAAAGAAAUCAACCGAGAUUCCCCCAGUAGCGGCGAGCGAACGGGGAGGAGCCCAGAGCCUGAAUCAGUGUGUGUGUUAGUGGAAGCGUCUGGAAAGGCGCGCGAUACAGGGUGACAGCCCCGUACACAAAAAUGCACAUAUUGUGAGCUCGAUGAGUAGGGCGGGACACGUGGUAUCCUGUCUGAAUAUGGGGGGACCAUCCUCCAAGGCUAAAUACUCCUGACUGACCGAUAGUGAACCAGUACCGUGAGGAAAGGCGAAAAGAACCCCGGCGAGGGGAGUGAAAAAGAACCUGAAACCGUGUACGUACAAGCAGUGGGAGCCUCUUAAUGGGGUGACUGCGUACCUUUUGUAUAAUGGGUCAGCGACUUAUAUUCUGUAGCAAGGUUAACCGAAUAGGGGAGCCGAAGGGAAACCGAGUCUUAACUGGGCGUUAAGUUGCAGGGUAUAGACCCGAAACCCGGUGAUCUAGCCAUGGGCAGGUUGAAGGUUGGGUAACACUAACUGGAGGACCGAACCGACUAAUGUUGAAAAAUUAGCGGAUGACUUGUGGCUGGGGGUGAAAGGCCAAUCAAACCGGGAGAUAGCUGGUUCUCCCCGAAAGCUAUUUAGGUAGCGCCUCGUGAAUUCAUCUCCGGGGGUAGAGCACUGUUUCGGCAAGGGGGUCAUCCCGACUUACCAACCCGAUGCAAACUGCGAAUACCGGAGAAUGUUAUCACGGGAGACACACGGCGGGUGCUAACGUCCGUCGUGAAGAGGGAAACAACCCAGACCGCCAGCUAAGGUCCCAAAGUCAUGGUUAAGUGGGAAACGAUGUGGGAAGGCCCAGACAGCCAGGAUGUUGGCUUAGAAGCAGCCAUCAUUUAAAGAAAGCGUAAUAGCUCACUGGUCGAGUCGGCCUGCGCGGAAGAUGUAACGGGGCUAAACCAUGCACCGAAGCUGCGGCAGCGACACUAUGUGUUGUUGGGUAGGGGAGCGUUCUGUAAGCCUGUGAAGGUGUACUGUGAGGUAUGCUGGAGGUAUCAGAAGUGCGAAUGCUGACAUAAGUAACGAUAAAGCGGGUGAAAAGCCCGCUCGCCGGAAGACCAAGGGUUCCUGUCCAACGUUAAUCGGGGCAGGGUGAGUCGACCCCUAAGGCGAGGCCGAAAGGCGUAGUCGAUGGGAAACAGGUUAAUAUUCCUGUACUUGGUGUUACUGCGAAGGGGGACGGAGAAGGCUAUGUUGGCCGGGCGACGGUUGUCCCGGUUUAAGCGUGUAGGCUGGUUUUCCAGGCAAAUCCGGAAAAUCAAGGCUGAGGCGUGAUGACGAGGCACUACGGUGCUGAAGCGACAAAUGCCCUGCUUCCAGGAAAAGCCUCUAAGCAUCAGGUAACAUCAAAUCGUACCCCAAACCGACACAGGUGGUCAGGUAGAGAAUACCAAGGCGCUUGAGAGAACUCGGGUGAAGGAACUAGGCAAAAUGGUGCCGUAACUUCGGGAGAAGGCACGCUGAUAUGUAGGUGAAGCGACUUGCUCGUGGAGCUGAAAUCAGUCGAAGAUACCAGCUGGCUGCAACUGUUUAUUAAAAACACAGCACUGUGCAAACACGAAAGUGGACGUAUACGGUGUGACGCCUGCCCGGUGCCGGAAGGUUAAUUGAUGGGGUUAGCGGUAACGCGAAGCUCUUGAUCGAAGCCCCGGUAAACGGCGGCCGUAACUAUAACGGUCCUAAGGUAGCGAAAUUCCUUGUCGGGUAAGUUCCGACCUGCACGAAUGGCGUAAUGAUGGCCAGGCUGUCUCCACCCGAGACUCAGUGAAAUUGAACUCGCUGUGAAGAUGCAGUGUACCCGCGGCAAGACGGAAAGACCCCGUGAACCUUUACUAUAGCUUGACACUGAACAUUGAGCCUUGAUGUGUAGGAUAGGUGGGAGGCUUUGAAGUGUGGACGCCAGUCUGCAUGGAGCCGACCUUGAAAUACCACCCUUUAAUGUUUGAUGUUCUAACGUGGGCCCCUUACCGGGGUUGCGGACAGUGUCUGGUGGGUAGUUUGACUGGGGCGGUCUCCUCCUAAAGAGUAACGGAGGAGCACGAAGGUUGGCUAAUCCUGGUCGGACAUCAGGAGGUUAGUGCAAUGGCAUAAGCCAGCUUGACUGCGAGCGUGACGGCGCGAGCAGGUGCGAAAGCAGGUCAUAGUGAUCCGGUGGUUCUGAAUGGAAGGGCCAUCGCUCAACGGAUAAAAGGUACUCCGGGGAUAACAGGCUGAUACCGCCCAAGAGUUCAUAUCGACGGCGGUGUUUGGCACCUCGAUGUCGGCUCAUCACAUCCUGGGGCUGAAGUAGGUCCCAAGGGUAUGGCUGUUCGCCAUUUAAAGUGGUACGCGAGCUGGGUUUAGAACGUCGUGAGACAGUUCGGUCCCUAUCUGCCGUGGGCGCUGGAGAACUGAGGGGGCUGCUCCUAGUACGAGAGGACCGGAGUGGACGCAUCACUGGUGUUCGGGUUGUCAUGCCAAUGGCACUGCCCGGUAGCUAAAUGCGGAAGAGAUAAGUGCUGAAAGCAUCUAAGCACGAAACUUGCCCCGAGAUGAGUUCUCCCUGACUCCUUGAGAGUCCUGAAGGAACGUUGAAGACGACGACGUUGAUAGGCCGGGUGUGUAAGCGCAGCGAUGCGUUGAGCUAACCGGUACUAAUGAACCGUGAGGCUUAACCU